This 29-nucleotide non-coding RNA is filed under the name Homo sapiens (human). The record is from RNAcentral. Lineage: Eukaryota; Metazoa; Chordata; Mammalia; Primates; Hominidae.
UGGGGCCUGUUGGCUGGUUGCAUAUCGGA